GUCGAAAGUAAGAAAUGAAGUGAACAAAUCCAUAUAUAUUUGUUGAAAAUUUCUUGCAGUGGGUAUCUUCCAUUUGUUUUUCAUGCUUCACACUGUGGGAGGCUUGGUAGUUGAUACAGAAAUUAAAGUAGUUAUUUGAUUGAAACUGGUAGCUAUUUCAAUUCUACUGUCAGUAUCUCCUUUUAUAUAUAAUUGGAUUAAUUGCCAAUAUAUUCACAUAGUAUAAUAGUU
Molecule: non-coding RNA, 231 nt
Organism: Paramuricea clavata
Lineage: Eukaryota; Metazoa; Cnidaria; Anthozoa; Malacalcyonacea; Plexauridae
Source: the annotation of a GenBank genome assembly